Molecule: long non-coding RNA, 1120 nt
Organism: Perca flavescens (yellow perch)
Lineage: Eukaryota; Metazoa; Chordata; Actinopteri; Perciformes; Percidae
Exons: 5
Source: RefSeq, a predicted model, not a curated record
CCAACUUCAACUAUUUUAACAAACUCUGGAAACUCAUGUCCUGUAUUGGUCUGGAAAAAUAUCAAAGAGAGAUGCAAAUAAGAAGAAGUACACUGAACACAAGCAGUAAGUAAUCCUUUUGGCAUGGGAUGCUCCAGGACAUGUUAUUUCUAACAUGAACCACUGUCUGAAACCUAAGAAACAAAACAGAAGCCUCUCAUGACAUUAAUAUGCAAACCCAGGACAUGUCUCAUAAAAGAAAGACUGGGAAAGAAGGAAACUCGGCAGCUACGGUUUAUCUUGACAAAUACCAGCUGCAGAGGGUCACUUUAAAGAACUGGCCUUCAGGGGCUUUCCUGCUUUUAGGAGUCAAUGUAAUGCAGCAGCUCUGACAGAGCGAAGCAACACCCCACUGGCCUUGAAGAAAGCAACCAGGAAAGGCUGUUUGGACUGGGGCCCGUUCCUCCCAAUGAUUCCAGCAGAUUUUGUGUUGAUACUUCGGCCUUUAAAAAAAGCAGGAGUCUCCAGACAGAGCUGCAGGCCCAAGUUCUGCUGUGGGUUCAUCACCCAGUGGUUACUGGUGGCUGUGAUGUCAAACACUAGCCAACCCCCAUCGGAUGCCUGGACCUUUUUGGAGUCAAGCAAGAACGUCUCUGCAUCUCUGAAGACAGGCAGGUGGUGGGCAUAACAGUGACCACGGGAGCACCCGAGGGAGCCCCUUCCCCCCCUAUUGUGGGCCCUCAUGGUUUCAUCUGGGACGCGGCCAGCUUGGGAGGCAACACAAGACGAGUGAUAACUGAUGGACCUUCCAAGCUUCAUAAGUGGCCAACUUGCUAAUGGAGUUCUCUUUAUCCGAGAACUAUAUUUGUAAGGCAGACAUGGUGCGAAUGAAAGAGAGCAGAGUUGAGAUAGAAGGGCGUUCUGUGCGAGUGGAAAGUUUUAACAGUACAAGACAAUAGCUGUUUGACUAUUUCCCUUUUUAACUGUGAAUCAAGAUAACUGCAUGGGGUAAAAGUGCUCCUCAGGGCCCUGUCAGAGGGUUAAUGGACUAUAAUCUCUGAUUAGAAAGCAGCAUUUUUAAUGUUUUAGCUGGUGGACGUAGAGCUAAUUUGAACUACUUUAUAUAUUGUUGGUAGUUUAA